GCCGGGCGUGGUGCCGCGCACCUGUAAUCCCAGCUACUUGGGAGGCUGAGGCAGGAGAAUCGUUUGAAUCCAGGAGGCGGACGUUACAGUGAGCCGAGAUCACGCCACUGCACUCCAGCCUGGGUGACAGAGUGAGAUUCUGUCUCAA
Molecule: non-coding RNA, 148 nt
Filed under: Nomascus leucogenys (northern white-cheeked gibbon)
Lineage: Eukaryota; Metazoa; Chordata; Mammalia; Primates; Hylobatidae
Source: Rfam by way of RNAcentral